GCCUCCAUAGCUCAGCUGGUUAGAGCACCUGACUCUUAAUCAGGGUGUCCGGGGUUCGAGUCCCUGUGGGGGCA
Molecule: transfer RNA, 74 nt
Filed under: Armatimonadota bacterium
Lineage: Bacteria; Bacillati; Armatimonadota
Also listed under: 1 other name
Description: Armatimonadetes bacterium (rhizosphere metagenome) tRNA-Lys
Rfam family: tRNA
About the family: Transfer RNA (tRNA) molecules are approximately 80 nucleotides in length. Their secondary structure includes four short double-helical elements and three loops (D, anti-codon, and T loops). Further hydrogen bonds mediate the characteristic L-shaped molecular structure. tRNAs have two regions of fundamental functional importance: the anti-codon, which is responsible for specific mRNA codon recognition, and the 3' end, to which the tRNAs corresponding amino acid is attached (by aminoacyl-tRNA synthetases). tRNAs cope with the degeneracy of the genetic code in two manners: having more than one tRNA (with a specific anti-codon) for a particular amino acid; and 'wobble' base-pairing, i.e. permitting non-standard base-pairing at the 3rd anti-codon position.
Source: RNAcentral